GAUCCUGGCUCAGGAUGAACGCUGGCGGCGNGCCUAACACAUGCAAGUCGAGCGAGAAGCUUUUAAAUGAUGCUUCGGUUGAUUUUAGAAGUGGAAAGCGGCGGACGGGUGAGUAACGCGUAGGCAACCUACCCUUUGCAGAGGGAUAGCCUCGGGAAACCGGGAUUAAAACCUCAUAAUACGCAAGGAAGACAUCUUACAUGCGUCAAAGAUUUAUCGGCAAAGGAUGGGCCUGCGUCUGAUUAGUUAG
Molecule: ribosomal RNA, 250 nt
Filed under: uncultured bacterium
Lineage: Bacteria
Description: partial 16S ribosomal RNA
Rfam family: Bacterial small subunit ribosomal RNA
Source: RNAcentral